CCUACGGGAGGCAGCAGUGGGGAAUCUUGCGCAAUGGGCGAAAGCCUGACGCAGCAACGCCGCGUGCGGGAAGAAGGCUUUCGGGCUGUAAACCGCUUUCAGCAGGAACGAAAAUGACGGUACCUGCAGAAGAAGGAGCGGCCAACUAUGUGCCAGCGGCCGCGGUGAUACAUAGGCUUCAAGCGUUGUCCGGAUUUAUUGGGCGUAAAGAGUUCGUAGGCGGUCAAGUAAGUCGGGUGUGAAAAUUAUGGGCUCAACCCAGAGACGCCACCCGAUACUGCUUAACUUGAGUUCGAUAGGGGAGUGGGGAAUUCCUAGUGUAGCGGUGAAAUGCGCAGAUAUUAGGAGGAACACCGGUGGCGAAGGCGCCACUCUGGAUCGAUACUGACGCUGAGGAACGAAAGCAUGGGUAGCAAACAGGAUUAGAUACCCUGGUAGUCCAUGCCGUAAACGGUGGGCACUAGGUGUGGGUUUCUAUUAACGAAAUCCGCGCCGUCGCUAACGCAUUAAGUGCCCCGCCUGGGGAGUACGGUCGCGAGACGAAACGUACGAAAGAAGUAGACGG
RNAcentral lists this ribosomal RNA (565 nucleotides) under uncultured bacterium. RNAcentral's name for it is "bacterial SSU rRNA". It matches the Rfam family "Bacterial small subunit ribosomal RNA", at positions 338 to 916 of the family's 1533-position model. The record is from RNAcentral.